RNAcentral lists this ribosomal RNA (253 nucleotides) under uncultured bacterium. RNAcentral describes it as "partial 16S ribosomal RNA". It matches the Rfam family "Bacterial small subunit ribosomal RNA", at positions 524 to 776 of the family's 1533-position model. The record is from RNAcentral.
UACGUAGGGGGCGAGCGUUGUCCGGAAUUACUGGGCGUAAAGAGCUCGGAGGGGGUUUGUCGCGUUGUUCGUGAAAACUCACAACUCAAUUGUGGGCGUGCGGGCGAUACGGGCAGACUGGAGUACUGCAGGGGAGACUGGAAUUCCUGGUGUAGCGGUGGAAUGCGCAGAUAUCAGGAGGAACACCGGUGGCGAAGGCGGUUCUCUGGGAAUGACCUGACGCUGAGGAGCGAAAGUGUGGGGAGCGAACAGG